RNAcentral lists this ribosomal RNA (254 nucleotides) under uncultured bacterium. Its description in RNAcentral is "partial 16S ribosomal RNA". It matches the Rfam family "Bacterial small subunit ribosomal RNA", at positions 524 to 776 of the family's 1533-position model. The record is from RNAcentral.
UACGUAGGGGGGCAAGCGUUGUCCGGAUUUAUUGGGCGUAAAGAGCUCGUAGGCGGUUUGUCGCGUCUGCCGUGAAAGUCCGGGGCUCAACUCCGGAUCUGCGGUGGGUACGGGCAGACUAGAGUGAUGUAGGGGAGACUGGAAUUCCUGGUGUAGCGGUGAAAUGCGCAGAUAUCAGGAGGAACACCGAUGGCGAAGGCAGGUCUCUGGGCAUUAACUGACGCUGAGGAGCGAAAGCAUGGGGAGCGAACAGG